RNAcentral lists this ribosomal RNA (433 nucleotides) under uncultured bacterium. RNAcentral's name for it is "partial 16S ribosomal RNA". It matches the Rfam family "Bacterial small subunit ribosomal RNA", at positions 29 to 507 of the family's 1533-position model. The record is from RNAcentral.
AACGAACGCUGGCGGCAUGCCUAACACAUGCCAGUCGAACGAGACCUUCGGGUCUAGUGGCGCACGGGUGCGUAACGCGUGGGAACCUGCCCUUAGGUUCGGAAUAACUCCCCGAAAGGGGUGCUAAUACCGGAUAAUGUCUUCGGACCAAAGAUUUAUCGCCUUUGGAUGGGCCCGCGUUGGAUUAGCUAGUUGGUAGGGUAAAAGCCUACCAAGGCGACGAUCCAUAGCUGGUCUGAGAGGAUGAUCAGCCACACUGGGACUGAGACACGGCCCAGACUCCUACGGGAGGCAGCAGUGGGGAAUAGUGGACAAUGGGCGAAAGCCUGAUCCAGCAAUGCCGCGUGAGUGAUGAAGGCCUUAGGGUUGUAAAGCUCUUUUACCCGGGAUGAUAAUGACAGUACCGGGAGAAUAAGCGCCGGCUAACUCCGUG